RNAcentral lists this ribosomal RNA (119 nucleotides) under Lepisosteus oculatus (spotted gar). Lineage: Eukaryota; Metazoa; Chordata; Actinopteri; Semionotiformes; Lepisosteidae. The record is from RNAcentral.
ACCAGCUGCCAGAUCACCCUGCAACUCCCACCUGCCAGCCCACUGAAGCUCAGCAGGUGUGAGCCUGGUCAGCACCUGGAUGGGAGACCUCCUGGGGAAAACUAAGGUUGCUGCUGGAA